This 500-nucleotide ribosomal RNA is filed under the name uncultured bacterium. Its description in RNAcentral is "partial 16S ribosomal RNA". It matches the Rfam family "Bacterial small subunit ribosomal RNA", at positions 28 to 523 of the family's 1533-position model. The record is from RNAcentral.
AUUGAACGCUGGCGGAAUGCUUUACACAUGCAAGUCGAGCGGCAGCGCGGGGCAACCUGGCGGCGAGCGGCGAACGGGUGAGUAAUGCAUCGGAACAUGUCCAGUCGUGGGGGAUAGCCCGCCGAAAGGCGGAUUAAUACCGCAUACGCCCGGGAGGGGAAAGCGGGGGACCUGCAAGGGCCUCGCGCGAUUGGGUUGGCCGAUGUCCGAUUAGCUAGUUGGUGGGGUAAAGGCCCACCAAGGCGAUGAUCGGUAGCUGGUCUGAGAGGAUGAUCAGCCACACUGGGACUGAGACACGGCCCGGACUCGUACGGGAGGCAGCAGUGGGGAAUUUUGGACAAUGGGGGCAACCCUGAUCCAGCCAUUCCGCGGGAGUGAAGAAGGCCUUCGGGUUGUAAAGCUCUUUUGUCCGGAGCGAAACGGUUGUGGUGAAUAUCCACGACUACUGACGGUACCGGAAGAAUAAGCACCGGCUAACUACGUGCCAGCCGCCGCCGUAA